GUUUAACUAAUAAAAAGUUUAAAAUUUAAAUUCCUCAAUUAAUACUUGAUAUUUUUUUUCUACCAACUAGGGUUUAAUUAAUUAAUUUGAUGUAAUCAGUAAUAUUAAGAUACAAGAUGUAUACUAUAUCCGUUUAGUUUUUAAUUAAUUUUCCUUGAAUUGGAAAUGUCUACUUCAGAUAUUGUAUCUUUAGAUGACAACAGUAUUGUGAUAAAUGAUUUACCGAAUGAUACAGAAGCAGCCAUAAGGUAUAUUAAAACUUUAUUACCGGUAACUCAAAAGGAUACAUUUAAAUAUCCUCCGGUUGUAUUUAUUCACCAACUAUAUGAUAUAAUACACAAUAAGACAUUGAUUAAUAAAGAGCUGGAGAUAUUAAGAAAGCAGUGCAAGAUACAAAAACUCACAAUUGGAACUUCUGAUUCUUCUUCAGCCUUAAUUUUAUAUGAAGAUUAUGUUAAGUAUACCUUAAAUAUUUAUCCAGAAAAUCGUAGUGUGAACAAAUUUUUAAACAUCAUUUUACCUUCAAUCAAAUCAUUUGGAGUGGAAAAAUGUACAUUGCUGCAAAAAUUUAAAUUGCAGCAAUAUGAAUUGACAGAAUUGAUCAACUGUGGACUUUUAUUGAUUAGAAAUCAAGAAAGUUAUUGGAUAUCUUUUCCAUCAUCUGGUAACUUUAUUAGGCGUUACAUUGAAGGUCGAAAAUAUAUUAUUCAAAUAAUUAGACGUAGAAAAUUUCAAGAGAUAUUAGAAAAUGACCUGGAAGUUCGUUGUGCUAAGGUAUCAAAGAUAAAAGAACUCGGUUUUAAAUACUUUUUACAUGACAUUAAAGGAUCAGAAGAUAUAAUUAAAAUGAAUACAACAUCAGGAUGUCUCUUAAGAAUUGCUUGAACAACAAUUUGUCUUACUUUCAGAAUGGAAUCAUUUUACUUUCAAUUAUUUUUAGUUACUAUGACUUACCCAUUUAAAACAGAGGAAUGAGAAAUACAUUUUGAAAAUGAGAGCUCAUGUAAUGACGUUGGCUAACAGCAUUAUUGGUGUUAGCAUACUAGCUAUG
RNA transcript from Myzus persicae (green peach aphid), 1051 nucleotides. It is a transcript of the gene named serine/threonine-protein kinase 19-like, with no coding region annotated. The record is from RefSeq and is a predicted model, not a curated record. Lineage: Eukaryota; Metazoa; Arthropoda; Insecta; Hemiptera; Aphididae. The transcript is spliced from 7 exons.